Molecule: non-coding RNA, 444 nt
Organism: Labrus bergylta (ballan wrasse)
Lineage: Eukaryota; Metazoa; Chordata; Actinopteri; Labriformes; Labridae
Source: RefSeq, a predicted model, not a curated record
ACCCCCUGUUUCACUCUGAGGCGUCCGCGCAUGCGCAUUUACAAUCCCGGAAGUAAACACGCUGUGUGUUAUUUCCGUAGCACGCGUGCAGCUGUGGAGAAGGUCAAAUAAGAAAAUAAAUCACCAUCAGUUCUGCAUCUUCUUCAUCAUCUCCUCCUGCCGUCAUGAAACCUCCUACAAACUCUCCCUCCCCCUCUCGGAAGAGAAAAAGAUCACACAGUCAGCAGGACGAUCCUACACCUGUUGACAUCAACACACCUGAGAAACAAGAUAAAAAGAAGAAGAACACCAGCGAGACGAAGAAGGGUUCAAUCUUCCUCCUCCUGCUGCAGUGGAAGAUACGAGCAGUAAGAAGAAGGAGAAAAGAAAGGAAAGAAAAGUGGAGCAAGAGGAGAAAGAGAUGCACAUUGCUGUAGAAACAGAAACUGUGGUGGAAAAGAAGAA